UGGAGGAGGAGGAGGAGGAGGAGGAGGGGAGGGGGGAGGAAGGGGAAAGUGGGUGGGAGGAAGAACCCUUCUCGCGCUCGCUCGGUUUUCGCCCCCCCUUCCCCUCCCCUUUCAGAGAAACAAUAACUUGAAAUUGUCUUGAAAGUCUCUCUCUCUCUCUCUUUUUGUAUCAAUAAUAAAUUUCAUUUUUGAGCCUCACUUCCUCUCUCUCUCUCUCUCUCUCUCUGUCUCUCUCUCUCUCCCUCCUCAGCCUGCGAGUUUGUGUGAGAAAGAAGGGGGAAAGAGAGGUGAGCGGGCGGACGGGCGAGGGUGCGCGCGUGAGAGUGGCUGGAAGUGUGGGUUGCUCAACGCUCAGCUGUGGCACAGCGGUGCAGACUCAGCGACGGCUGCGCGAGGGUCUGCAACGGGGAAACACAGAUCGGAGAAAGGAAGUACACGAGGGGGAGGGGGGAGAGAGAGAGAGAGAGAGAUCGCCCGCGUUGCGCCUGCCCAGGCGAGCGGAGAGACAGGGGAAAGGGGCCAAGGUUGCCUGCUCGCUCGCCCGCCCGCACCGCAGGAGAGGCUGUCGCCUACCAACUCUGCCUCGGGGAGGAGAGAAAAAAAGCUAGAAAUGUUCUGCCGUAAAACAACUGGCCCGCCCCUGUCAUCAUCACAUUAUCCUUCAUAUCCCAGCAGCGGGAAACAGAGCUGGAAUUCGCCACUACAGCUAGAGCUGAAAUCACCUGGACGGGCAGCAGUGAGAACCAAAACGGCUCGAGGCUUCAGCUGAACCGCGCCCUGAUUAUUUGUGCGUGGAGCUUGAGCCCUCUCCCGUUCCCCCAAACCUCCCAGAAAUACUUCCGGCGCCAAGGUGAGAAAGACGGCCUGAAGAAAAGGCCUGGGCGAUCAAUCCAAGAGGACUGUUAACUAAGCAUCCCGAAAGCAUCACAUUGCAGACUUGAAGCCCACCCGCUCCAAAAGAAGCGCCGGCCCAGAUGUGUCGAGAUGUGCUACCCUAUCUGAUUGACGUUCAGGGUCCGCCAAGGAGACGCGAUAAUAAUCGCAUUUCACACUGAGAUUUAAUAAAAUAGAGUUUAGUCUCUGCA
RNAcentral lists this long non-coding RNA (1085 nucleotides) under Salvator merianae (Argentine black and white tegu). RNAcentral describes it as "lncRNA (ENSSMRG00000000626.1)". The record is from RNAcentral. Lineage: Eukaryota; Metazoa; Chordata; Lepidosauria; Squamata; Teiidae.